GAUGAACGCUGGCGGCGUGCCUAAUACAUGCAAGUCGAGCGAACAGAUAAGGAGCUUGCUCCUUUGAAGUUAGCGGCGGACGGGUGAGUAACACGUGGGUAACCUACCUAUAAGACUGGGAUAACUUCGGGAAACCGGAGCUAAUACCGGAUAACAUUUAGAACCGCAUGGCUCUAAAGUGAAAGAUGGUUUUGCUAUCACUUAUAGAUGGACCCGCGCCGUAUUAGCUAGUUGGUAAGGUAACGGCUUACCAAGGCGACGAUACGUAGCCGACCUGAGAGGGUGAUCGGCCACACUGGAACUGAGACACGGUCCAGACUCCUACGGGAGGCAGCAGUAGGGAAUCUUCCGCAAUGGGCGAAAGCCUGACGGAGCAACGCCGCGUGAGUGAUGAAGGGUUUCGGCUCGUAAAACUCUGUUAUUAGGGAAGAACAAAUGUGUAAGUAACUGUGCACAUCUUGACGGUACCUAAUCAGAAAGCCACGGCUAACUACGUGCCAGCAGCCGCGGUAAUACGUAGGUGGCAAGCGUUAUCCGGAAUUAUUGGGCGUAAAGCGCGCGUAGGCGGUUUCAUAAGUCUGAUGUGAAAGCCCACGGCUCAACCGUGGAGGGUCAUUGGAAACUGGGAAACUUGAGUGCAGAAGAGGAAAGUGGAAUUCCAUGUGUAGCGGUGAAAUGCGCAGAGAUAUGGAGGAACACCAGUGGCGAAGGCGACUUUCUGGUCUGUAACUGACGCUGAUGUGCGAAAGCGUGGGGAUCAAACAGGAUUAGAUACCCUGGUAGUCCACGCCGUAAACGAUGAGUGCUAAGUGUUAGGGGGUUUCCGCCCCUUAGUGCUGCAGCUAACGCAUUAAGCACUCCGCCUGGGGAGUACGACCGCAAGGUUGAAACUCAAAGGAAUUGACGGGGACCCGCACAAGCGGUGGAGCAUGUGGUUUAAUUCGAAGCAACGCGAAGAACCUUACCAAAUCUUGACAUCCUUUGAAAACUCUAGAGAUAGAGCCUUCCCCUUCGGGGGACAAAGUGACAGGUGGUGCAUGGUUGUCGUCAGCUCGUGUCGUGAGAUGUUGGGUUAAGUCCCGCAACGAGCGCAACCCUUAAGCUUAGUUGCCAUCAUUAAGUUGGGCACUCUAGGUUGACUGCCGGUGACAAACCGGAGGAAGGUGGGGAUGACGUCAAAUCAUCAUGCCCCUUAUGAUUUGGGCUACACACGUGCUACAAUGGACAAUACAAAGGGCAGCUAAACCGCGAGGUCAUGCAAAUCCCAUAAAGUUGUUCUCAGUUCGGAUUGUAGUCUGCAACUCGACUACAUGAAGCUGGAAUCGCUAGUAAUCGUAGAUCAGCAUGCUACGGUGAAUACGUUCCCGGGUCU
Molecule: ribosomal RNA, 1372 nt
Filed under: uncultured bacterium
Lineage: Bacteria
Description: bacterial SSU rRNA
Rfam family: Bacterial small subunit ribosomal RNA
Source: RNAcentral